AGUUUGAUCCUGGCUCAGAUUGAACGCUGGCGGCAUGCCUUACACAUGCAAGUCGAACGGCAGCACGGGGGCAACCCUGGUGGCGAGUGGCGAACGGGUGAGUAAUAUAUCGGAACGUGCCCUGGAGUGGGGGAUAACUAGUCGAAAGAUUAGCUAAUACCGCAUACGAUCUACGGAUGAAAGUGGGGGACCCGCAAGGGCCUCAUGCUCCUGGAGCGGCCGAUAUCUGAUUAGCUAGUUGGUGAGGUAAAGGCUCACCAAGGCAUCGAUCAGUAGCUGGUCUGAGAGGACGACCAGCCACACUGGGACUGAGACACGGCCCAGACUCCUACGGGAGGCAGCAGUGGGGAAUUUUGGACAAUGGGCGCAAGCCUGAUCCAGCAAUGCCGCGUGAGUGAAGAAAGCCUUCGGGUUGUAAAGCUCUUUUUGUCAGGGAAGAAACGGUGAGGGCGAAUACCCUUUGCUCAUGACCGGCACCUGAAGAAUAAUCACCGGCUAACUA
This 502-nucleotide ribosomal RNA is filed under the name uncultured Glaciimonas sp. RNAcentral's name for it is "bacterial SSU rRNA". It matches the Rfam family "Bacterial small subunit ribosomal RNA", at positions 10 to 503 of the family's 1533-position model. Lineage: Bacteria; Pseudomonadati; Pseudomonadota; Betaproteobacteria; Burkholderiales; Oxalobacteraceae. The record is from RNAcentral.